This 267-nucleotide ribosomal RNA is filed under the name uncultured bacterium. RNAcentral describes it as "partial 16S ribosomal RNA". It matches the Rfam family "Bacterial small subunit ribosomal RNA", at positions 793 to 1055 of the family's 1533-position model. The record is from RNAcentral.
GUCCACGCUGUAAACGAUGAGUGCUAGGUGUAGAGUGUAUCGACCCCUUCUGUGCCGCAGUUAACACAAUAAGCACUCCGCCUGGGGAGUACGGCCGCAAGGUUGAAACUCAAAGGAAUUGACGGGGGCCCCGCACAAGCGGUGGAGCAUGUGGUUUAAUUCGACGCAACGCGAAGAACCUUACCAAGGCUUGACAUCCACAGAAUCCCUAGGAAACUAGGGAGUGCCCUUCGGGGAGCUGUGAGACAGGUGGUGCAUGGUUGUCGU